CAAUCAGCGCCUUCUGCAAACCCUCCUCCCUCUCUGGCUCUCUCGCGGCUCGCCCUCGCCUUCGCUCUCGCCUCUCGUUUGACGCUUGCUCGCUCUGUCGCUCUCGCUCGCGGCUCGCCAUCGCCUCUCAGUCUGUAGCUGGGGAGGUCGCAUCUAUGGCUACUGGCUCUGGCUCUCUAACUCUUGUUCUCGCUGGGUGACUGGGUCGCUCGCCUCUCUGCAUUGCCAUUGGGACACUUUGGGUCAAUCUUUUGAGGCAGGCAGUGGCCACUGGCCAGUGGGCAUCCCUUCAUACUCUAGAGACUAAACGACUAGAGUUAAGUUAAUUUAUUUGAUUAUGUUCUAUUUAAUGUGUAUUUUUUUUUUGGGGGGGCUAAUUUAACACCUAUAAUGAGUUUAGGAAUUAUGACUUUAGGCUUUUUAUUAAUUGUUAUUUGACUACUUCAUUUAGUUAGGGAUUGUCCUUGUUAUAAAUUGGGAGCACUGGCAGCCUUUAAACCUUCCAAGAAACCAAUCAAACAACCUUCCAAACGCUCCUAACUCACCGGCAACACACAACCAACACAACAAGUCUAUUAAAGAACAGAAUUUAAGUGCAAGAACAAAACAAGAAAGAAAAUAUUCAAACUAUAUAAGAAGACAGAAUUUAUCCUGGUUCAUGCCAAUUGAAUUGGCACUAUAUCCAGCCUUCAAACCACCACCGAGCGCAGCCUUCUUUAUUGAUGAAAACAGUACAAGACUUAUCUCUUCUCUCUCUCACGAUACAAGCCUUCCCAAAAGAGUACAAAACUAUAACUCACAGCUUUCUUACUCUUAAAGCUCUCGUGAAAUCAGAAGAGAACAUGCAGUUCUCUUUCCCUCAGCCCCCCCUGCCCUAUUUACAGAGAAUAGGGUGAUAUUUCUUAGGGCUGGACAUGAUAUUACCGGUUUUGCACUUCAUUAAUAACUAAUUAUUACAAGAAAGCCCCCAGCCUAUCAACUAAUCAGAACCGCAUACAAGACUGCAUAUUUAACCUAUCACUAACUCUAGACAACAAUUCUUAAUAGUCCUGGCUGAAUUGUGUUAAUUGUGAUUGAAUAUUUGAAUUGUCGAUGCUAAACUUGUUAAAAUUUUGAUUUUAUUCUUUGACAUGGUAUGAAUAUUUAUUUAUUUUUUUGAUGUUUUAUUAUAAAAAAUAAAAUUUAAAUGUAUACGAUUCAGGACCAUUUUUACAUUUCGACUCAGGGCCCCAAAAUCUCAGGUAUAGCCAUCCUCGUCAACGUUUGAUUUGAUGCUCAAGUUCUUCGAGAAUGGCUUGGAGGAGCCGAAGAUUGUGGCAUAUUACAAUGGUGGACGGGUUGAUUGGGAGCUCUAGAUUCUACAGUUCGAAUUCAAAGGUGGACUUGAAGCGACUUCGGCCCAUGAUUUUGAAGAGGAUUGAGCAGAGAGGCAAGGAUUACCCGGUGAAGGGCAUGGUCCCUGUAGCACAAGACGUUCUCAGGAACAGAGGUCUCCUCAUCCAGGGUGUCUCCACGCUUCUCAAAGUCGUCCCUGUCUGGGCCUGCAAAUUUUGUCCAGAAGUAUAUAUUGGUGAGCAAGGCCAUCUUAUUAAGACUUGUCAUGGUUACAGGCGCAGGGCCAAGAACCAGGUUCAUGAAUGGAUCAGUGGGAAACUGACUGAUAUACUUGUACCUGUGGAGACGUUUCACCUAGAUAAAAUGUUCCAAGGUGUAAUUACACACCACCAAAGAUUUGAUUUUGAUCGUGUACCUGCAGUUAUUGAGCUCUGCUGGCAGGCAGGGGCAGAUCCAAAUGAUAUCAAUCUAAAUCCUAGUCAAUGGGAUCUGGAGAGCGUUGGAAGUGGAAUCACUGGUGCCGAGUCUCUGUCACCUGGUGAUCUUGGAUUGGUAGCUAGGGGAACUUUUAUGGCUUGGGAGGCGCUUAGGUCUGGGGUGCAAAAGUUAUUGAUGGUUUAUCCAGCAAAAGUAUGUAACCACUGCUCUGAAGUUCAUGUGGGCCCUUCUGGACACAAAGCUCGACUCUGUGGGGUUUUUAAGUUUGAGAGUUGGCGUGGGUCUCACUUUUGGAAGAAGGCAGGGGUGGAUGAUUUGGUGCCUCCGAAGCUUGUGUGGUACCGACGGCCUCAAGAUCCUCUUGUUCUUCUGGAUGAAGGACGUGGAUUUUAUGGGCAUGCCCCAGCAAUGGUGGACCUGUGUGUAAAGGCAGGUGCUAUUGUGCCGCCCAAUUAUUUAUGUAUGAUGAAGAUGAAUGGUAAUUCAGCACCUGCUUGAGUCAGGCCUUUAUUCCUUUCUGAUUGUUUUGGUGGGUGGAAAGAUAUCAAUAUGAAACGAGGAGCCAUGAUUUCUCUUUCAAGGUGGGAGCAUGAUCCACUCACUGUUUCACAUGGCAGAAUGGUGUUCUGGAGCAUUCCCCCAAUCCAAAGCUCUGCGAGGAAAGCUUCGAGAACUUCCUAUCUGCUUUUGUGAUGAUGGAAAGGGACCAUUUUACCAUCUGUUGUUUUAAUUUUUCUUUUCAAGAAAAAACAGGUUCUGAACGGCAAGAUUAUUGGGAAGUUCAUUAUGUUCAGCUAGGUGUUUUACUGGGCUAGUUCAACGAUGAAUCCUAUUGGAUGCUAAAUUCACUUGUUUAACCACAGCCGUAAUUGUGGCAUUUCAUGCGUAUUCUACAAACUAACGACCAAGAAUGCAGCCUACAUGACCAGCUUUUAUGUUGUACACGAAUCUCUCUCUCUCUCUCUCGAUAGAAAAACAGAAGACAAAGCUCUCUCUUUGAAUAGGAACACCAGAAGGGAAAGCUUGGAUUGAAGUGCAGAAAAUGAGGGUGGUGAUAGAGAUAUUGACAGGAACUCUCUUCUCCAUUCAAGUGAAUGACAAUGCCACAGUUGCAGACCUCAAGAGGGAGAUAGAAGCCCAGGAAAAGCUCCCUUAUGAUCGACUCAUCUUGAUUCUCAGAACCAACCUCAAGAACCACUUGAUGGAUGAAGAUGAUCUUUCCCUUGUCGACUAUGGUGUUCGGGAUGGCUCUCACGUGUAUCUCUUCUUUGAUCCCCUCAAUGAUGAUAUGGAUUUUCGAACCACUUUCUUCUAACUUCCCUGGGUUCGAACCACUUUCUUCUAACUUCCCUGGGUUCGAACCACUUUCUUCUAACUGCCCUGGGUUCGAACCACUUUCUUUAAAUUAAUAUGUACUUCCUUUUCUUUUGUUUCUAGAUUCAGCAUGAAAACUACGUAGUUUAGUUUUGAGUUACUUGUAGUCAUGUUUCAAUUAGAAAACGCUUGGAGAAAUUUGGAAUAUAUUCUGCAGUCUGUAAGGGGCAAAAUCACUUGAAAUCGAACAAAGGAUGUUGCUUGUUACUUGAGCAUGUAACCUUUUGAGACUACAGUUAGACGUGGAUCACAAGUUUCCUAAGAGUUAUGAAGAAUAAUUUUCAUGGAUUCCCAUCAGGAAAACUGUAUUCUU
RNA transcript from Diospyros lotus (date-plum), 3460 nucleotides. It is a transcript of the gene named APO protein 4, mitochondrial, with no coding region annotated. The transcript has 5 exons. Lineage: Eukaryota; Viridiplantae; Streptophyta; Magnoliopsida; Ericales; Ebenaceae. The record is from RefSeq and is a predicted model, not a curated record.